CCUACGGGCGGCAGCAGUGAGGAAUAUUGGUCAAUGGACGAGAGUCUGAACCAGCCAAGUAGCGUGAAGGAUGACUGCCCUAUGGGUUGUAAACUUCUUUUAUAAAGGAAUAAAACGAGGCACGUGUGCCUUUUUGUAUGUACUUUAUGAAUAAGGAUCGGCUAACUCCGUGCCAGCAGCCGCGGUAAUACGGAGGAUCCGAGCGUUAUCCGGAUUUAUUGGGUUUAAAGGGAGCGUAGAUGGGUUGUUAAGUCAGUUGUGAAAGUUUGCGGCUCAACCGUAAAAUUGCAAUUGAUACUGGCAGUCUUGAGUACAGUUGAGGUAGGCGGAAUUCGUGGUGUAGCGGUGAAAUGCUUAGAUAUCACGAAGAACCCCGAUUGCGAAGGCAGCUUACUGAACUGUGACUGACAUUGAUGCUCGAAAGUGUGGGUAUCAAACAGGAUUAGAUACCCCGGUAGUC
This 460-nucleotide ribosomal RNA is filed under the name uncultured bacterium. RNAcentral describes it as "partial 16S ribosomal RNA". It matches the Rfam family "Bacterial small subunit ribosomal RNA", at positions 338 to 795 of the family's 1533-position model. The record is from RNAcentral.